CAAAAUGAGAGUUUGAUCCUGGCUCAGGACGAACGCUGGCGGCGUGCCUAAUACAUGCAAGUCGAGCGAGCUUGCCUAUAGAAGUUCUUCGGAAUGGACAUAGAUACAAGCUAGCGGCGGAUGGGUGAGUAACGCGUGGGUAACCUGCCCUUAAGUCUGGGAUACCAUUUGGAAACAGAUGCUAAUACCGGAUAAAAGCUACUUUCGCAUGAAAGAAGUUUAAAAGGCGGCGUAAGCUGUCGCUAAAGGAUGGACCUGCGAUGCAUUAGCUAGUUGGUAAGGUAACGGCUUACCAAGGCGAUGAUGCAUAGCCGAGUUGAGAGACUGAUCGGCCACAUUGGGACUGAGACACGGCCCAAACUCCUACGGGAGGCAGCAGUAGGGAAUCUUCCACAAUGGACGCAAGUCUGAUGGAGCAACGCCGCGUGAGUGAAGAAGGUUUUCGGAUCGUAAAGCUCUGUUGUUGGU
This 468-nucleotide ribosomal RNA is filed under the name Staphylococcus epidermidis. Its description in RNAcentral is "bacterial SSU rRNA". It matches the Rfam family "Bacterial small subunit ribosomal RNA", at positions 1 to 443 of the family's 1533-position model. Lineage: Bacteria; Bacillati; Bacillota; Bacilli; Caryophanales; Staphylococcaceae. The record is from RNAcentral.